GGGGGAUUUGGGAAUGGGGGCGGGGGUUUAUGAAUGGGGGCGGGGAAUGAGGGGGGAUUUGUCAAUGGGGGCGGGGAUUUGGGGGUGGGGGGGGUGUGAAUGGGGGGGCAAUGGGGGGGGAUUUGUGAAUGGGGGCAGAGAUUUGGGGAUGGGGGGGGAAUGGGAGGGGGGUGAAUGAGGGGGGAUUUGUGAAUGGGGGGGUGUGAAUGGGGGGGUGUGAAUGGGGGCAGGGAUUUGUGAAUGGAGGGGGAGUGAGAAUGGGGGGGGAAUGGGAAGGAGGUGAAUGGGGGGGGAAUGUGAAUGGGGGGGAGAGAGGGAGGGAAUGUGAAUGGGGGGGAGGGAAUUGUGAAUGGGAGGGAGGGGGAGGGGGGAAUUGUGGGUGGGGGGGAGGAAGGGGGGGGUGGAAUUGUGAAUGGGGGUGGUGGGAGAGGGAGGAAUCGUGAAUGGAAUGUGAGCGGGGAAGGAAAAAGUGAAUGGAGGGAGACGGGAACAGAAAGCAGUUCUGAAUGGAAUGGAAUGGAAUGGAAUGGGGUGGGGUGGGGGUGGGGAGGGGUGGGGGUCCUGGCAGCUCACAGAGGUGGGAGGGGGGGGUUGGAAAAGUCCUGGCAGCUCACAAAGGAAUGGGGGUGUUGGGAAGGAAAGGUCCUGAAAGGUCACAGAGCCACGGGGUGGGUGGGUGGGGUGGGAAAGGUCCUGGCUGGGCACAGAGCUAUGGGGUGGUUGGGUUGGGAUGGAAAGGUCCUGACAGGUCACAAAGGCAUUGGACUGUUGGGUUGGAAAGGUCCUGACAGAUCACAGAGAUGUGGAAUGAAUGGGUUGGGAUGGAAAGGUCCUAACAGAUCACAUAGAUGUGGGAUGAAUGAAUUGGGAUGGAAAGGUCCUUACAGAUCACAGAGCUAUGGGGUGGUUGGGUUGGGAUGGAAAGGUCCUGACAGAUCACAGAGCUAUGGGGUGGCUGGGUUGGGUUGGGAAGGUCCUGACAGGUCACAGAGCUAUGGGGUGGUUGGGAUGGGAUGGAAAGGUCCUGACAGGUCACAAAGGCAUUGGACUGUUGGAUUGGGAUGGAAAGGUCCUUACAGAUCACAGAGAUGCGGGAUGAAUGAAUUGGGAUGGAAAGGUCCUUACAGAUCACAGACUAUGGGAUGGUUGGGUUGGAAAGGUCCUGGCUGGUCACAGAGAUGUGGAAUGAAUGGGUUGGGAUGGAAAGGUCCUGACAGAUCACAGAGUUAUGGGAUGGUUGGAUUGGGUUGGAAAGGUCCUUACAGACCACAGAGAUGUGGGAUGGUUGGAUUGGGAAGGUCCUGGCAGGUCACAGAGAUGUGGGAUGAAUGGGUUGGGAUAGAAAGGGUCCUGACAGAUCACAGAGCUAUGGGGUGGUUGGGUUGGAUUAGAAAGGUCCUAACAGAUCACAAAGGCAUUGGACAGUUGGGUUGGGAUGGAAAGGUCCUUACAGAUCACAGAGCCAUUGGAUGGUUGGGUUGGGUUGGAAAGGUCCUAACAGGUCACAGAGAUGUGGGAUGGAUGGGUUGGGAUGGAAAGGUCCUGACAGAUCACAGAGAUG
This 1561-nucleotide long non-coding RNA is filed under the name Gallus gallus (chicken). RNAcentral describes it as "lncRNA (ENSGALG00010018563.1)". The record is from RNAcentral. Lineage: Eukaryota; Metazoa; Chordata; Aves; Galliformes; Phasianidae.